Maylandia zebra (zebra mbuna) is the source of this 132-nucleotide non-coding RNA. Lineage: Eukaryota; Metazoa; Chordata; Actinopteri; Cichliformes; Cichlidae. The record is from RefSeq and is a predicted model, not a curated record.
CCUGGUUCCUCAGUGUCCCUGUGUGCAGAUUUCAGAAAAGCACAAAUGACUGAGGCUGAAAAACCUUCAUACAGUCUACUGGUAACUGGGUCUCCUGAAUGCAGCAAUGAAGAAAAGCUUGAAAACCCUUUU